GAUAUGAACUCUCCGAAAAAAUUACGCUGUUAUCCCUAAGGUAAGUUAAUCUUAUAAUCAAAAAUUCUGGAUCAAAAAAACAUAAAUUAAUGAAUAUAAAUAUUAAAAGUUUAAUAAAUUUUAAUGUCACCCCAACAAAACUUUAUAUUCUAAAAAAUUGUUUAAUUAACAAAAAACAAAAACUUAUAAAUAAAGUAAACUUCUAUAGGGUCUUCUCGUCCUAUAAAAAAAUUUUAGCUUUUUAACUAAAAAAUUAAAUUCAAAAUAAUUUAAAAAAGAAAGUUUAUUUUUCAUCAAACCAUUCAUACUAGCCUUCAAUUAAAAGACAAAUGAUUAUGCUACCUUCGUACAGUUAAAAUACCGCAGCCUUUUAAUUCAUAAAAAUCAAUGGGCAGGUCUGAUCUUAAAUUAAAAUCAAAAGACC
RNAcentral lists this ribosomal RNA (424 nucleotides) under Gerris incognitus. Its description in RNAcentral is "partial 16S ribosomal RNA". Lineage: Eukaryota; Metazoa; Arthropoda; Insecta; Hemiptera; Gerridae. The record is from RNAcentral.